UACGGAGGAUCCAAGCGUUAUCCGGAUUUAUUGGGUUUAAAGGGUGCGUAGGCGGCAGAUUAAGUUAGAGGUGAAAUUCCGAGGCUCAACCUUGGCACUGCCUCUGAUACUGGUUUGCUAGCGAGUAGAUGCUGUAGGCGGAAUGUGUGGUGUAGCGGUGAAAUGCAUAGAUAUCGCGCAGAACCCCGAUUGCGAAGGCAGCGUGCCGUGCCGCCACUGACGCUGAGGCACGAAAGCGCGGGGAUCGAACAGG
This 253-nucleotide ribosomal RNA is filed under the name uncultured Rikenellaceae bacterium. Its description in RNAcentral is "partial 16S ribosomal RNA". It matches the Rfam family "Bacterial small subunit ribosomal RNA", at positions 524 to 776 of the family's 1533-position model. Lineage: Bacteria; Pseudomonadati; Bacteroidota; Bacteroidia; Bacteroidales; Rikenellaceae. The record is from RNAcentral.